CCUAUGGGGUGCAGCAGGCGCGUAACCUCCGCAAUGCGGGCAACCGCGACGGGGGGACCCCGAGUGCCGUCGGGGCAAAGCUCCGGCGGCUGUACCGGGGUGUAAAAAGCCCCGGGUAGAAAGCGGCGGGCAAGACCGCUGCCAGCCGCCGCGGUAAUAGCGGCGCCGCAAGUGGUGGCCGCUUUUAUUGGGCCUAAAGGGGCCGUAGCCGGUCCCGUGGGUCCCCGCCGAAAGCCCGCGGCUUAACCGCGGGAGUCGGCGGGGAAACUGCGGGACUUGGGACCGGGAGAGGCCGGAGGUACCCCCGGAGUAGGGGUGAAAUCCUGUCAUCCCGGGGGGACCGCCAGUGGCGAAGGCGUCCGGCUGGAACGGGUCCGACGGUGAGGGCCGAAAGCCGGGGGAGCAAACCGGAUUAGAUACCCGGGUAGUCCCGGCUGUAAACGAUGCGGACUAGGUGUUGGGGCGGCCACGAGCCGCCCCAGUGCCGUAGGGAAGCCGUUAAGUCCGCCGCCUGGGGAGUACGGCCGCAAGGCUGAAACUUAAAGGAAUUGGCGGGGGAGCACCACAACCGGUGGAGCCUGCGGUUUAAUUGGAUUCAACGCCGGAAACCUUACCGGGGGCGACAGCAGGAUGAAGGCCAGGUUGACGACCUUGCCGGACGAGCUGAGAGGAGGUGCAUGGCCGCCGUCAGCUCGUGCCGUGAGGUGUCCUGUUAAGUCAGGUAACGAGCGAGACCCCCACCCGCAGUUGCCAGCGGGCCCCGUAAGGGGCGCCGGGCACUCUGCGGGGAUCGCCGCCGAUAAGGCGGAUGAAAGUGGGGGCGACGGCAGGUCCGUAUGCCCCGAAACCCCCGGGCUACACGCGGGCUACAAUGGCGGGGACAAUGGGAUCCGACCCCGAAAGGGGAAGGAAAUCCCAUAAACCCCGUCGUAGUUCGGAUUGCGGGCUGCAACUCGCCCGCAUGAAGGUGGAAUCGGUAGUAACCGUGCCUCAGAAUGGCACGGUGAAUACGUCCCUGCUCCUUGCACACACCGCCCGUC
RNAcentral lists this ribosomal RNA (1040 nucleotides) under uncultured archaeon. Its description in RNAcentral is "bacterial SSU rRNA". It matches the Rfam family "Archaeal small subunit ribosomal RNA", at positions 322 to 1354 of the family's 1478-position model. The record is from RNAcentral.